CCUUAUCAUGAGCGACGGAGGGAUCAGGCCCGACGAUGUCCGGCAACCUGCCAUGGCGGCAAGGUGCCAAAUCCUGCGGUGUAAGCCGGAAGAUGAGG
RNAcentral lists this non-coding RNA (98 nucleotides) under human gut metagenome. Its description in RNAcentral is "SAM riboswitch (S box leader)". It matches the Rfam family "SAM riboswitch aptamer (S box leader)". From Rfam's summary of the family: The SAM riboswitch is found upstream of a number of genes which code for proteins involved in methionine or cysteine biosynthesis in Gram-positive bacteria. The SAM riboswitch acts at the level of transcription termination control. The predicted structure consists of a complex stem-loop region followed by a single stem loop terminator region. The record is from RNAcentral. RNAcentral also lists the same sequence under 1 other name.